CCUACGGGCGGCAGCAGUGGGGAAUAUUGCGCAAUGGGCGAAAGCCUGACGCAGCGACGCCGCGUGAGGGAUGAAGGUCUUCGGAUCGUAAACCUCUGUCAGCAGGGAAGAACGGUCACUGUGCUAAUCAGCAGGGAAUUGACGGUACCUGCAAAGGAAGCACCGGCUAACUCCGUGCCAGCAGCCGCGGUAAUACGGAGGGUGCGAGCGUUAAUCGGAAUUACUGGGCGUAAAGCGCUCGUAGGCGGUCUGUCAAGUCAAGGGUGAAAUCCCCGGGCUCAACGUGGGAACUGCCUUGGAAACUGGCAAGCUGGAGUGUGGGAGAGGAUAGUGGAAUUCCAGGUGUAGGGGUGAAAUCCGUAGAUAUCUGGAGGAACAUCAGUGGCGAAGGCGACUAUCUGGCACAUAACUGACGCUGAGGAGCGAAAGCGUGGGUAGCAAACAGGAUUAGAUACCCUAGUAGUC
This 465-nucleotide ribosomal RNA is filed under the name uncultured bacterium. Its description in RNAcentral is "partial 16S ribosomal RNA". It matches the Rfam family "Bacterial small subunit ribosomal RNA", at positions 338 to 795 of the family's 1533-position model. The record is from RNAcentral.